Molecule: ribosomal RNA, 482 nt
Filed under: uncultured Acidobacteriota bacterium
Lineage: Bacteria; Pseudomonadati; Acidobacteriota
Description: bacterial SSU rRNA
Rfam family: Bacterial small subunit ribosomal RNA
Source: RNAcentral
UUGAUCCUGGCUCAGAAUCAACGCUGGCGGCGUGCCUAACACAUGCAAGUCGAGCGAGAAAGUGGGGGCAACCCCAUGAGUACAGCGGCGACCGGGUGAUUAACACGUGACUAACCUACCCUUGAGUGGGGAAUAACUCCGGGAAACCGUAGCUAAUACCGCAUAACACCGCAAGGUCAAAGGAGCAAUUCGCUUAAGGUGGGGGUCGCGGUUGAUUAGCUAGUUGGUGGGGUAAUGGCCCACCAAGGCUAUGAUCAAUAGCCGGCCUGAGAGGGCGCACGGCCACACUGGAACUGAAAUACGGUCCAGACUCCUACGGGAGGCAGCAGUGGGGAAUUUUGCGCAAUGGUGGAAACCCUGACGCAGCAACGCCGCGUGAAGGAUGAAGGUCUUUGGAUUUUAAACUUCUUUCGUCCGGGACGAUAAUGACGGUACCGGAAGAAGAAGCCUCGGCUAACUUCGUGCCAGCAGCCGCGGUAAUU